RNAcentral lists this transfer RNA (76 nucleotides) under Clostridia bacterium. RNAcentral describes it as "tRNA-Met". It matches the Rfam family "tRNA". From Rfam's summary of the family: Transfer RNA (tRNA) molecules are approximately 80 nucleotides in length. The record is from RNAcentral. RNAcentral also lists the same sequence under 2 other names. Lineage: Bacteria; Bacillati; Bacillota; Clostridia.
CGCGGGGUAGAGCAGUUGGUAGCUCGUCGGGCUCAUAACCCGAAGGUCGGAGGUUCAAGUCCUUCCCCCGCAACCA